Molecule: long non-coding RNA, 951 nt
Filed under: Gopherus agassizii (Agassiz's desert tortoise)
Lineage: Eukaryota; Metazoa; Chordata; Testudines; Testudinidae
Description: lncRNA (ENSGAGG00000011050.1)
Source: RNAcentral
AGGAGCGCUGAAGGACCUGAAAAUAAAUGGGGCACACUAUCGACAGAAUCAAAUCCCAAAGCGAGGAUUUGCAGGGACUAGCUCGACAAUGCACUGGAGUCAUCAAGUGGGCACAUUUGGGAGAAAAGCUACUGCUACAAAUCUGUCAGAAGACGACUCGUUCAUGCUUUAUUAAAAAGGACAUGUGCAGGAGGAGCAACGGUCGCCCCUGAAUCUUUUUAGAAGAAUGGAGACAAGUCACCACCAUCUCUCUCUACCUCAGCCCUUUCCCUCAGGUUCACCCUUCAGCCAAUGUUGACAGGCCCUGUGGGAUUUAUCCACGCACAGACCUACAUGCAGUGCCAAAUUCUCCCUCCAACCAGCAUAUCCACCCAGAAGCCUGCAUUUGGGCAACAUCUAUCAUCAAACGCCUGACAUGGGACAUCCUUUUAACCAAAACAAGGAGUGCCAUCAGGACCUCCGAGGACACUUCCUUAUACCUGCAAACUUUCUCCUCCCUUCCAGAGUUGGAAGCAACAAUAAAGUGGCUGACAAAGUUCCAAAGGAGAAGAUUCAUCAUACUCAGAAGCUCCAUAAAGAAAGCUGGAUCCCAUCUACGAUCCCAUACAUUUUAUGAGAUCAACACUGAAGAGGUUAUAGUCAAGCAGUUAAGGUCAACUUUGUUCUCUUCUUCAGCUGAAAACUUUUUCCUCAAAAGAAAAAAAAAGAGGAGAGAUAAUAGACUUGGGUAAUAUGGAAGUCACAAAAGAGUUGACAGUCAUGACAAGAAGGAUGAAUAUGAAACUUGUGCUCAAGAGGAAGAGAACAUUGGUGGAGAUUCAGCUGAGAAUGCUCCUUUAAUUAGUUGGAACUUUGGGAUAUCAAUUUUGGAUACAAUGAGCUGAAAAAGUCUAACCUAUUGCUGAAGAUAAGACAGGUAGAAAGCGAGGAAAGAUCAGAGAAAGUGAAAGA